UACGUAGGCAGCGAGCGUUGUUCGGAGUUACUGGGCGUAAAGGGUGUGUAGGCGGUUGUUUAAGUUUGGUGUGAAAUCUCCCGGCUCAACUGGGAGGGUGCGCCGAAUACUGAAUGACUUGGAGUGCGGGAGAGGAGAGUGGAAUUCCUGGUGUAGCGGUGAAAUGCGUAGAUAUCAGGAGGAACACCGGUGGUGUAGACGGCUCUCUGGACCGUAACUGACGCUGAGGCACGAAAGCGUGGGUAGCAAACAGG
This 254-nucleotide ribosomal RNA is filed under the name uncultured bacterium. RNAcentral's name for it is "partial 16S ribosomal RNA". It matches the Rfam family "Bacterial small subunit ribosomal RNA", at positions 524 to 776 of the family's 1533-position model. The record is from RNAcentral.